CACAAUGGCGGGCCGGGUGGGGACACCUUAACGGGUGUGCCGGAGUCGUGUAGUCCGGUCGGCCAACCCUGUUCGGUCUGCCACCUCC
RNAcentral lists this non-coding RNA (88 nucleotides) under Chromobacterium sp. LK11. Lineage: Bacteria; Pseudomonadati; Pseudomonadota; Betaproteobacteria; Neisseriales; Chromobacteriaceae. The record is from RNAcentral.